RNAcentral lists this transfer RNA (58 nucleotides) under Opisthoteuthis massyae. RNAcentral's name for it is "tRNA-Gly". Lineage: Eukaryota; Metazoa; Mollusca; Cephalopoda; Octopoda; Opisthoteuthidae. RNAcentral also lists the same sequence under 1 other name. The record is from RNAcentral.
UUUUUAUUAGUAUAAAAUUUAGUAUAGUUGUUUUCCAAACAAAAAGUUUAAUUGAAGA